AUAUGGCGGUGAUGAAAAUACUUUCAGCAAGCAUGCCAGUACUGCUUCUGAGGAUUCAUGACUGAAUUACUUGUUAUAUUGAUGUGAGCCAUUC
Aegilops tauschii subsp. strangulata is the source of this 94-nucleotide small nucleolar RNA. NCBI's taxonomy places the organism in Eukaryota, Viridiplantae, Streptophyta, Magnoliopsida, Poales, Poaceae. The record is from RefSeq and is a predicted model, not a curated record.